AGUGGCGGACGGGUGAGUAACGCGUGGGAAUAUGCCCUAUGGUGCGGAACAACUGAGGGAAACUUCAGCUAAUACCGCAUGUGCCCUACGGGGGAAAGAUUUAUCGCCAUAGGAGUAGCCCGCGUUGGAUUAGCUAGUUGGUGGGGUAAUGGCUCACCAAGGCUACGAUCCAUAGCUGGUCUGAGAGGAUGAUCAGCCACACUGGGACUGGGACACGGCCCAGACUCCUACGGGAGGCAGCAGUAGGGAAUCUUGCGCAAUGGGCGAAAGCCUGACGCAGCCAUGCCGCGUGAAUGAUGAAGGUCUUAGGAUUGUAAAAUUCUUUCACCGGGGACGAUAAUGACGGUACCCGGAGAAGAAGCUCCGGCUAACUUCGUGCCAGCAGCCGCGGUAAUACGAAGGGGGCUAGCGUUGCUCGGAAUUACUGGGCGUAAAGGGCGCGUAGGCGGACAGUUUAGUCAGAGGUGAAAGCCCAGGGCUCAACCUUGGAAUAGCCUUUGAUACUGGCUGUCUUGAGUACGGGAGAGGUGUGUGGAACUCCGAGUGUAGAGGUGAAAUUCGUAGAUAUUCGGAAGAACACCAGUGGCGAAGGCGACACACUGGCCCGUUACUGACGCUGAGGCGCGAAAGCGUGGGGAGCAAACAGGAUUAGAUACCCUGGUAGUCCACGCUGUAAACGAUGAGUGCUAGUUGUC
RNAcentral lists this ribosomal RNA (695 nucleotides) under uncultured Phenylobacterium sp. RNAcentral describes it as "bacterial SSU rRNA". It matches the Rfam family "Bacterial small subunit ribosomal RNA", at positions 94 to 824 of the family's 1533-position model. Lineage: Bacteria; Pseudomonadati; Pseudomonadota; Alphaproteobacteria; Caulobacterales; Caulobacteraceae. The record is from RNAcentral.